RNAcentral lists this unclassified non-coding RNA (302 nucleotides) under uncultured fungus. RNAcentral describes it as "partial contains 18S rRNA, ITS1, 5.8S rRNA". The stretch from base 1 to 40 matches the Rfam family "Eukaryotic small subunit ribosomal RNA", at positions 1792 to 1831 of the family's 1831-position model. Lineage: Eukaryota; Fungi. The record is from RNAcentral.
UAACAAGGUUUCUGUAGGUGAACCUGCAGAAGGAUCAUUAGUGAAGAUUUGGGCAGGCCAUACGGACGCCAAAAAGUGUCCCUGGCCGCCUACACCCACUAUACAUCCACAAACCCGUGUGCACUGUCUUGGAGAAAGGCUUCAGAGAAGUUUUUUGUGGCCUCUCUUGGGGUCUUUCUUCGCUACAAACUCGAAUGGUUAGUAUGAACGUGGAACUUGGUUGGACCGUCACUGGCCAACAAACUAUACACAACUUUCGACAACGGAUCUCUUGGUUCUCCCAUCGAUGAAGAACGCAGCGA